CGGGCUGUAAGUUAAGUAAAACUAUCAGACUUCAAAUCUGAAUAUACCUUGAAAGGUCAGCUUGA
Molecule: transfer RNA, 65 nt
Filed under: Saccostrea kegaki
Lineage: Eukaryota; Metazoa; Mollusca; Bivalvia; Ostreida; Ostreidae
Description: tRNA-Trp
Rfam family: tRNA
About the family: Transfer RNA (tRNA) molecules are approximately 80 nucleotides in length. Their secondary structure includes four short double-helical elements and three loops (D, anti-codon, and T loops).
Source: RNAcentral